UCUAGCAUGUAGAGCAAGCUUGU
This 23-nucleotide non-coding RNA is filed under the name Cricetulus griseus (Chinese hamster). Lineage: Eukaryota; Metazoa; Chordata; Mammalia; Rodentia; Cricetidae. The record is from RNAcentral.